Molecule: ribosomal RNA, 253 nt
Filed under: uncultured bacterium
Lineage: Bacteria
Description: partial 16S ribosomal RNA
Rfam family: Bacterial small subunit ribosomal RNA
Source: RNAcentral
UACGGAGGGUGCGAGCGUUGUCCGGAAUCACUGGGCGUAAAGGGCGCGUAGGUGGCGCGGGAAGUCAACGGUGAAAGUUCGGGGCUCAACCCUGAAUCGGCCGUCGAUACUCCCGGGCUCGAGCACCGUAGAGGCAGAUGGAAUUCCGGGUGUAGCGGUGGAAUGCGUAGAGAUCCGGAAGAACACCGGUGGCGAAGGCGGUCUGCUGGGCAGUUGCUGACACUGAUGCGCGACAGCGUGGGGAGCAAACAGG